Gasterosteus aculeatus aculeatus (three-spined stickleback) is the source of this 579-nucleotide long non-coding RNA. The record is from Ensembl. Lineage: Eukaryota; Metazoa; Chordata; Actinopteri; Perciformes; Gasterosteidae.
GGUAAAACUGCUGGGCUCAGAUUGCUGGGGGGGGGGGGACCCGACUGUGAAAGGAUUGAAGCGUUUAACAUAACACGCCGUUUUCAGAACAGACGUUGGAAGGCAAAUAGUGUCUCACGGGGCAACAGUAGCAGACCUGUGAGUGAACCAUCGAGGUGACCUCACCGUUCCUACGACCCGUUCCGCAGCGCCUCUCUAGGUAACGUCUGAGGUCCCUUUAUUUCAAUAACAAGUAGAGCGAGGGAUCAGGAUUCAAGUCAAACGCAGUUGCUGAAAUUUCAAUAGAGGACGCUGCAGUGCGGCGUGUGGUACCCGUUGAUAAGUCAGCGUUGGCUGUUUCUGGUGCACUGAUAAAUGAAAUGUCACAGUUUCUGAGACAUGUUUUUCAAGGGGGUCGUGUUCCCGAAACCAAAUCACGUCCACAGAGUUUGAGAAAGAAUUCAGUGUUGGCAUUACGAGUGUCAAACCUGCCGUGUUCACAGCUUCUCCACUGCAGACAUUCUGGAUGCACUGAAGGGAAUUUGACAGGAGCUGAGGCGUCGAAGCUAAAACGACACCGAGGAAAAGCCAUAUUCUUCU